AGCUUUCAAAUGUUGUCCGUUCAAAUCCACAGUGCUUGUGCCAGGUCCUGAAUGGUGGUGGCUCGUCGCUUGGGGUGAAUAUCAACCAAACACAGGCCCUAGCUCUGCCCCAAGCUUGCAACGUUCAGACUCCAUCUGUCAGCAGCUGCAAUGGUAAGCAUACCAAUUAUCACCAGCUGCAUGCUAUUUAUUAAUAGAUAAUGAAGAUAUGAACUAUUAUCAAUCUCUAUCUAAAGUGCUAACUUGUGAUACCUGAAAAUUUGCCAGUUGAUUCUCCCGCCGGCUCUCCAGCAGGUGCACCAGACUCUUCAAACAAUGUUCCUUCAGGUAUAAACAUAAAAGAAAAUACUUUUAAUUGUAUGCUUGGUCAGUUCAUUCACACGGUCAAUUAAAGUACCUAACUGCUUGUGCAGGAACUGGAUCUAAGACUGUUCCAUCGACAGACAAUGGCUCAUCAGACGGAAGCUCCAUCCAUAUGUCAAAACCUCUACUAUUCUCCAUCUUGUUGGCUUCUAUAUAUGCUUCAGCUUUCAAGUUGUACUGAUCUUAUCAGUAGCCUCUUUUCUACAAGUUUGGUUUAUUGCUGGUCAUUUAUUGCAUUUAGAUAUUUUUUGGAGUGUCCAUUAUUUUAAGCAUCCCUUUUGUUUAGGGUGUUUUAUUCUAUCUUCAUAUUCUCCUCAUCUGGCAUUUGUUUCCAUGAACUUUGUAUUGUAUCAGAGAUUCUUUUGAAUAAAAUACAUGAUCGUGUGCUUGUGAGUAAAUGGAAUGAAUGUCUACAAUAAAAUACAUGAUUAAGUAACAUGAAUGAAUGGAAUGAAUGAAUGGAAUGAAUGACUAAAAUAGUUGUGAAUAAAUUCACUUCCUCAGUGAUUACAAACAGAAGAUAUAUAAAAACAUUAAGCAGAGAAAAGAACCAUCUACAAAUGAAUUUUAACAAAGUUACAUUUUUUAAUAACCAUUGACAUAAUAAAAUCCUGCUAGUGUAAUACAACUAUUUCUAAUAAAUUCUUACUUGGAGCCAACUCGUUAUCCCAUGGCAGUAGGGUUAAAAAAUUUCCCCCACUAACAUUGCCAAUUAGAAACUGUCAGCCUCAAAUCAAAAGAAUGAAAGUGAAAAAACUUGUUAGAAUUACAUUUAAGGUUGAAGCCAAAGAAGGAAGAAACAAAUUGCUCGGAUAAAUUUGAUGGUUGAAACAGAAGCAAGGAUGGAUUAAGAUGGAAAUUCUCAGCCUAAAAUGCAUACCUUCCUGCAGUCAUUGCUUGUGUCACCAAAGAGGAAAAAAUGAGUAAAGUUGGAAGGGGUAGAAAGUCUUAGUGAAGCCUAUCUCUUGUGGCCCUGAAGGGAUCGAUCAACAGUCACCACCAGCAAGAAUUGUGCCUUGAAAACACUAGUUUGUAUUGCUUAAAGUUGUGAAGUCAAGCAGGAUGAUAUUUGGGUUUACUUACCAACAUAUGAAUUUCCAAAUUGCACAAGCUACGGCCUGUAUAAACUUCUGAGUUGCAAGACUCAGUUCUCGAGAUAGACAUUUACUUAUAAAAAUACAGUCUCACCACCAACAUGUAAGCUUUAUAAACUCACACAUAUUUAAGUUCCUAACUCACUCUUCCAUAGAAUCUAAUUGGUCACCUCUCAGGCCACUCGGAGAUUUGCAAAUCAUAAUCAAGAAAAACAAAACAAAACAAAACAAAAAAGCGGAAAAAGAAGGAAAUACAUGAGUUUUACCCCUAUACAAAGCUUUUUAUUUGUCAUCGCCAAUCUGUAAAAUGACGGCCACAAAAAAGAAGUUCCUACUUUACUUCAACUAAAAAAACAAAAAAUUCUUUUAGAGUAAUAGUUAAUGGAUGAGUCAAUUGUCAUAGUGCUAAUAUUAUUUAUUUAGUAAUAGUAUAUGCUUAAUUUCUGAUGGGAAAUGUACGUUAGCGUAUUUUCCAAUUCCAGUGGAAAAAGAGUUACAGCGGUAUGCAGAACCAAAAAGGUCCAAAAACAGAUAAAAGUUCAACUUGUGUAAUCAUAAACUAAUUCAGUAAUUCUCAUUAAGAAUUCCUAAAAGUGUUAUUUUACAACUGGAAUGAGACUCAGUACAAGUAUCAGGACACCAAACAAGGACUUUCCCUAACAAGUGACAGGCAAAAAGGGAAAAAGAAAAUGGCGCACCAUGGAAUUCACAUCAAGAAUGAGACCGUGACCUUACAAAUUCUUCUAACCUAUCCCACACCUCCAAUGCUGCAGCUCUAUCUUGGUGCCGCUUGUUCUUGCUAAUCUGCAAGGGAAACAAUAUUUAAAUUACUAUACGACAUUGCAACCGAAUAAUAGGGAACUAACUAGAAGGGGUGGCUAAGCAGAAAUAGGUACAAGAGGGAAGGGGAAUUUCAAACUUCAAAUCCCAAACCACAGCCAGAUCAAGAUUUAGGAAAAUGCAACACGUGGGAAAAGGGACUAGGGAAAUAGAAGAUUACCGAAAUAAUUUUAACAUUCCACUGCUUCACAUUCUUAGCUGAUUCCAAACUGUCGUCUUCAAAACGCAUAUAAAAUCCAAUAACUGCAAGACAUUUGAUACCCAUAUCAAUACUUUUCAGUCCCAAACCAUGUUUAACAAGACAUUCUAAGAACAGUUCUGAACUUAUGAUGGGCACAUCUGUGCAUUUCUUAAUAGCAAAUUCUGUACGACCAGAUGGGCAAAAACAAUUCUCUACUAACAGUCUAACAUCACAGACUAACUUAUUAUCCAAUCAAACUCAGAAUAUCAAGGAACAAAAUCAACCCAUUUGAGAUCAAUAGUUCACUUACUUUUAUUGAAAAUCUCCACAUGGUCCUUGAAAGGCCAAUCUUUGAACUGCCAUUCCUUUCCCAGUACGAAAACAGCUACAACACGGUCCCAGUCCUCUGAUUUCAGAGCUGAAGGCUUGUCCCUAACCUCAUACGCGGUCACCACUCUAUCUCUAUCCCUACUGAACUUCUUCUGCACAGUUACACAAUCAGGCCUCGCCCCUUUCAUCUGCUUAACCUUAACAUCCGUGGGUAUAAACACACCAUCUUCCAAAAACUCCUUCACAUUAUAUAUUGUGAUCAGAGUCUGAAAAGCACUCGGAACCAGAAUUAUAGGCACACCUUCUCCAAUCUUUCCUCCCUUCAAAUGCAUUUUCGGUUUCGGAUUCGCAUCAUAACCCAAAUCAUCACCAUAUCCCACCAAACCCCUGUCAUCAGAACCCAUCAGCCUACUCUUAGCAACCAAACCAUCCUUCCUCUGUUGAGAUUCAAGACGCUGCCUCUCCUCCUCACGCUUCGUCGACAUCACAAGCACGUUAUAGAAAUUCCUAUUCUUACAUUCCAACAACGAUUCCCUAUCCUUCAACGGUCUCUCAAUAGCCCUAAUCAUGGUCAUAUAAUCAACAUUAGUAGAAUCCUUAAAACCAUCGUCCUCGUCAACCGCAUCCAUAGCUGCUCCAACAAUCACCGGGUCUUCAGGACGAUACUCAUCCACAGAGGGCAAAUCGGGAAACUUGGGGUUCUGAGGUACAAGAAACUCGAUGGCGUCGGAGGAGGAAACCUUGCCGGUAAGAUAAUCAAGCAGAGGCUUCCGGUCAGGGAAAGUGACGGAAGUAAUUCCCUGAGUGCGAGCGUUUUGAAGGUACUCAGUGUGCUUGACAUGGUGAUUCUUGAUGUAAUAGACGAGGGUUUCGAGUGUGUAGAGAUUGCCUUGUUUGGAGCGGUAAGCAGUUUCGACGGAGCAAGGGAAGGAAUAAUCGGAGGCGAAACGGAACUCGUCGUUGACUCGGACGAUUUUGUCGAGCUCGCCUCGAAUGGUGAAAUCUCGGAGAGCUGAGAGAGGAUCCAUUUUGCAGUGGAGUAGCUUUUUGUUUUUUUGGUCAGAGUGUGAAAUGAGGAAGAAGAAGGGUUGUUCUUCUUGUUCAACUUCAAGGCUAGUUUUGUAAAUUUCAAUUUUUAAUAGGGUUUCAAUGGACAAACGGCAACGUAAGAUAAUUGCUAUUGGGCCUUCGUUCUCGGCCCAGUCAAGAUUUAAAGAACACAUCGAACCUAAUUGAUAGCUAUUACAAGCUCCUAUUAUUGAAAUCUACUAGUCAUAGUAAUUGAAAGCUAUUCUAAGUGGCCAUGUCACCUUUUGUCAUACUCAAUCUUUUACUAUCUUUAAUAAUUUCAUAAUCCAUUUAACAUUUACAACAUAAAAUACACACUAUACAAGAAUCCCAUCUCUGCCAAAUGCUUCAUAAGCAACCAAAGAUACAUAAUCUACAAAAACAACCAAUUUGACUGAAUGAAAUAUGAUACUAACAUUUUGACGGAAUCAAAACGAAAUAGAGACAAAAGUAGUAUUCAAAUAUUUUUAAAUUUCAUCCACGUUGUUGAAAUAUCUAUUUAACAUCGUCAAUUUUCGAUUUUAAUUUUGAUGAAAAUUUGAAAUAUUUAUUUUGGUAAAAAAAAAUAUUGUAACGUGAAGACUAAAUUGGGAAUUUCUCCCUGUGAAAAUGCACAAAAACAGCUAAAAAAUACAUUAAUGUGAUUUUCACAUGUCCAUGUCACCUUUUGUCAUUGUGAGAAUUAUUAAAAUGGAAGAAAAAAAAUUAAAUCAGAAUUUCAUCAUUUAUCUAAUAUAUCAAAAUAUGAAAGCUGUAUCAUAGUUGAAUGCAAAUAGUCACAAAUAGGAAUGUAUCAUAAUCUAUAUAACUAAGCUUUAGUAAUUCCAUAAUCCAUUCAUCAUCAUCAUCAAUUCAUGAAAAAUUACGAUACAAAAUCAGUUUUAAGAAAGCUAAACAUAACAUAAUCCCUAACUUUCCCCUUAAGCACUCCAUAUUUCCUAAGAACACCUUCUCUCUGAAAUCCCGCCUUCUCCAUCACUCGUUGAGACGCAAAAUUCUCCACAUCCACCAACGCCUCCAGCCUCUCCAGUUCCGGCCACUCUACAAAUAUCCUCUCCAUCACUAAUUUCACCGCCGCCGUAACGAUCCCUUUCCCCCAAAAUUUUGACCCCAAAACGUACCCCAGUUCGCCCCUGCACUUGUCCCUCGCCGCCGUGUUCGACAUCACCGAAAUCGCGCCGACUGGACGACCAUCGACGCAGAUGGCCCGGUAAUAGGGGUGCGAAAGGACUUGGUCAUUGAUGAACUUAAUGGCUUCGGAUUUGUCCUGGUAGGGCUCCCAAGAGCAGUAUCGAGCGGCUUUCUCGUCGGUUGCCCAUCCCAUGAAGUCGUCGAUGUCGGUGAGAUCUAGUGGGCGGAGAGUGAGUUCCAUGGCUGUGAAUUGAUGUUGUUAUUUACUGUUAUGCUGGUGUGGAAUGGGGAUUUUAUAGAAAGGGAAAGUGGAAGAAAAAGAAGAAGAAGGUGUGAGGAAUUAUCGUUUUGGAUGGAGAAGUCAAACUUGAUUUGCUUGGAGUGGACUACAAGUCUCAUAUGGCUGCAAUUUGUGAAUUGAUGUGGAUUAUUUUGCUUUGUUUGUUCACUUAAUUUAAGCUAACUAAUAACUUUUGUUUUUUUAAAAAUAAUUUAAAAUUAGCCCAACACCCAAAUAAACGUCAAGGCUAAAAUGCGAAUCUCUCUAUGAAAAUCGAUACCAUUUUUGUAGCCCCAAAGCCUCCGACAACAACAGCCUCCCUUUCCAAUCAAUGAACUCAUCAAGAAUCUCCAUUCGGCCGUUCAAUCUCUCCGACGCCGACGACUUUCUCCGAUGGGCCAGCGACGAAAGAGU
RNAcentral lists this long non-coding RNA (5701 nucleotides) under Cucumis sativus (cucumber). Its description in RNAcentral is "long non-coding RNA (CSAT_LNC000942)". The record is from RNAcentral. Lineage: Eukaryota; Viridiplantae; Streptophyta; Magnoliopsida; Cucurbitales; Cucurbitaceae.